Molecule: long non-coding RNA, 269 nt
Organism: Jaculus jaculus (lesser Egyptian jerboa)
Lineage: Eukaryota; Metazoa; Chordata; Mammalia; Rodentia; Dipodidae
Exons: 4
Source: RefSeq, a predicted model, not a curated record
CAUGUGCCCACAAGUCCCAUGACUUAAUUCUUAUGAUGUUUUUAAUUCUAUAAUUGCAGAUAGACACUGAUGAAAAUUCAACCGGUGUGUCAUCAGCACAGUCACCAAAGGAACCACAACACGAGGACUCUAGCAAUCUGAAGCCUGGUCACCACAAGGACUCACCACCUCAUGUGGUUGGGGACUCUGGCUUCGCAACCCAAAAAUGACACAAUUUCAAUGCUGGUGGCUCCAUCUUCACUGGGAUUAAAUAUUAUCCUUGAUGGCCA